UGGGGAAUAUUGGACAAUGGAGGAAACUCUGAUCCAGCAAUUCUGUGUGUGUGAAGAAGGUUUUAGGACUGUAAAACACUUUUAGUAGGGAAGAAAAAAAUGACGGUACCUACAGAAGAAGCAACGGCUAAAUACGUGCCAGCAGCCGCGGUAAUACGUAUGUUGCGAGCGUUAUCCGGAAUUAUUGGGCUUAAAGGGCAUCUAGGCGGUAAGACAAGUUGAAGGUGAAAACCUGUGGCUCUACCAUAGGCUUGCCUACAAAACUGUUGAACUAGAGUACUGGAAAGGUGGGUGGAACUACACGAGUAGAGGUGAAAUUCGUAGAUAUGUGUAGGAAUGCCGAUGAUGAAGAUAACUCACUGGACAGAAACUGACGCUGAAGUGCGAAAGCUAGGGGAGCAAACAGG
RNAcentral lists this ribosomal RNA (407 nucleotides) under Verrucomicrobiota bacterium. Its description in RNAcentral is "Verrucomicrobia bacterium partial 16S ribosomal RNA". It matches the Rfam family "Bacterial small subunit ribosomal RNA", at positions 355 to 776 of the family's 1533-position model. The record is from RNAcentral. Lineage: Bacteria; Pseudomonadati; Verrucomicrobiota.